Molecule: transfer RNA, 65 nt
Filed under: Nacerdes carniolica
Lineage: Eukaryota; Metazoa; Arthropoda; Insecta; Coleoptera; Oedemeridae
Description: tRNA-Ile
Source: RNAcentral
AAUGAAAUGCCUGAUUAAAGGGUUAUCUUGAUAGGAUAAAAUAUGUAAUAAUUUUACUUUCAUUA